Myotis davidii is the source of this 55-nucleotide non-coding RNA. The record is from Rfam. NCBI's taxonomy places the organism in Eukaryota, Metazoa, Chordata, Mammalia, Chiroptera, Vespertilionidae.
CGGUUCCUGCCGACGGGGUCUGUCCAGUCAUCAGGUCUGCCGUGCGAUGGCUCCG